GACACGGCUGCUUCUCAGUGGUGGCCCAGCCGAGAGGGAAACGGCAAAAAAGAAAGUGGUCAGCUUCCGUUUUUUGAGACCUUCCAGAAUCAGCCUGCUGAAAACAGCUCUUCACAUCUUGAAGUUCCCACUUUCAAAUAUAACGGCUGCGAGAUGACUUUUGCCAUGAUGAACUAUUUUGAGCAAUUUAGGAGAUACAUUAUCACCAAGCUUUCUCUUUCUCAUUAUUUCCUCCCUUAUCCCCGGUGCAUCGCUGCAAAGCCCCAAAUGGAGAGUUGUAAUUACCCAGACUGCCACCUGAUAGCAGACCUCUUUCUAUCAGCUUUAUCACUGCCGGUCCUGCUAACUCAUCACAGAGACAGAGGGGAAAGAAAAGGGGCCUGCUUGUGGCACAGAUAGCUCAUCUCUAAGAUACAUUUAUAGUUUCAGUCGGGAUCAGAGAAAACUGAUGCACCGAGGCAAUUUUUUUUUAUCCACCCCUUCCUUCAACCUCACAAAGACUGCUCUCUCUCAGUCCUCUCCCAGUCUCUCACUCUUUAUGUGGAAGCUGAACUGAGGCCCCUCUCACAAACAAAAAGUGAUCCAAUCUCCUUGAACCCAUGGCAAUGCAGCAACACAUGCUUUUUUGGUCUUUUAUAGAGGUGUUGUCGUCCUUCGGAGGAAUAAGAAAUAGAAAACUCCAAAAGGUGACUUGUUCAUAUUUAACAUUGCACAGCACAUCAAAGGCGCUUACAUUAAAUGGUUUCCAGCUUAUUAACCACCUUCGACCCUUGUUUAAGUUUUUCUCCUGUUCUGAAUGAGAGACGAAGAACUAAUCUACACGUUUCAACUAGACUGAAUAAAUUAAUAGAAACGACACUGCAAAGCUGGUAUCAAGGGUCAACAUUUAUUCAAUUUAUUAUUCUUUCAGGUACACGAGUUUGUAAAAUGGAAGGAUAAAUAAAGCACUCACAAGUCUGUCGUGCAAGAAAAACCUUUUGAGAUGUCUAGUUUUACUGUUUUGCAUAAAACAUUGUCUAUUGUGCUUUGGACCACAACUUUAGGCUGAAUGUGAUUUAUAAAAAAAAUAAAUACAAUUACACCAAAGAGAAAAAGAUGAUUUAAUCAAGUUUGAAACAAAAAAACCUGUUGUUGAACAGGGACUAUUUAUUAGUGAACAUUUCUUUAACUUUUGUGUAGAAUAUAGCACAAGUUUAGAACUAAAAUUUCUAUUUUGUGAAAUAAUUUUGUGCAUUAUCUCAAUUUACAUGAAUUAGAUUGUUUGUAAAACUGGCUUGUUAAUUUUCUGACAGAUACUAGAACCAAAAGUUUAUAAUUACCUGCCAAUUCAAAGUGCAAGCAUGAGUUGGUGUGGUGCGGGCUCAUAGAUGCACUUCCUUUAUCACUUGUGACAAUGAAGGGGGGCUUUUGAGCGUCCACUCAUCAGUAAGUCAAAAGAAACAGCUCGAGCCACUUUGACCUUCAUCAAAUGGGAAGAUUGUGAGGACGCAUUGGAACUUCUAUGGUUCCAAUGGCCUGAGCGCCUUCUGACAGGGGGCACUCUAACGUGGCUUGAAAGGAGAAAUCAAUCUUAUUUGAGGAGAUUAAGUGACCAGGAUAAUAACCAUGACAUUGAGGGUGAGAAGAGAGAGAGAGAAAAACACUUCCACUUCUCAUAAUAGUGAAAUAACGCAGCUUCUGCCCUCGAUUCAUUCUUGUGGCUAAAUGUCAUUGCUUCCUAGAUGAGCAUUUUCACGAAAGCGUUGUCUUACACAGGAUUCAUUCACAUUUUUUCAUUUCAAAAUCCAAUACAUCGUCAAAUUCAGACUUAGGCUGCAUUUGACUCUUUUAAAGAUAAAAACAAAAAUGUAAUAUGAACUUAUGGCAGAUAUUGCUAUAGCUGACUUUAAAUACUAAACCUUAAAAACAACUACUGGAUGGAUGGACGGACGGACGGGCGGAUGGGUGGAUGGUAAAAUUGAAAUAUUUUUCCAUAGGAGAACACCUUAACCAACUUCUAUUGCUGUCUUGGCCAAAUAGGAACCAUGGUUACAAAUAUCAGGGAUUGAACAUGUGAUCAUCCCAACAACUGCGGUACAUGGUUAAAUGCAUAAAACAGUAGGAAAAAGGAUAUUUACACCUUUCUCCUGUUUUUUUUUUUUGUUUGUUUGUUUUUGCAUCUGAACAUACAGUAUGUGAGUGUGUGUGCACAUGUUUCUCCUAAGCGCCAGCUUGAAUGACAGUAUGAUCAAUGGGAGGGCAAGUGUCCUGUCAGCACCUUGUGUUUGGGUGAAGAGAGGGGGGUCUGCCACAGGCUGUCUCAGGUGAUCUCAUUAUUUGACAGGCACAGCAGAGGACAGCCUGCAUUCAUACUCCUGCCUCUCAUGUUGGUCGCCUAAUCAGGCCGUUUUUCAUGCACAGGAGCACUUAUAGAAAUUAUUGAUCACAUUUUGACACAGUAUUCUCCCCUCUCCAUGAUCAGCGACAUACUCCUUCCACAGUACACACAGUACAACCCGACAACAUCAUUAGAUGCCUCUGCAAAGUGAUAACACUUAUCAGCAUUCAAAAAAAAAAAAAAACAGGCAGCCUGGGUUAAUAUGUUAAGAUGUUUGCCUAAUGAUUUUAAGUAAUCUGUUUAUUUCUAGUGUUUAUCUAAACAGCCUGUGAGAGGAGGGGGUAGCAGCCAAGCAAGGAACAUGGCUUUUCAAAAUCAAAGACUUCAAAGCAGCUAAUUAUCUGCGUGAAGAUUAAUGAAUUACUCUUACGAUUGCUCUUCUUACAUUUUCACUUUUGCAUUUUUUUCAUGUCAGGUUAAAGAAAAUACCCGUGCAGAGUAACAUUCUGGAUAGAUAGCAAAACCAAAGGGCAGGACCCUGCAAGAGUCAGAUUGUCAUCCCAUGGGAUGUUUGCUGGAAGAUGAUGUGACACGCCUAAAGAGCAAAUCUUUGUCAAGCGGCCCCUGAGGGCUAUUUGCAUUUAGCAGCAUGAGCCAAAAGUAUCCCCUCUGUUCAGAUUAAGCCUCGCCAAGAGGGUCAAGUGAAAUCAAUAUGGUAAUCCAUAAUUUGUCCUAUAUGAUAAUUACUAAAAGGAGAAAAAGUAAUUAAAGAAGACAUUAAUUUACCUCUUAGAUUUUGUGCUACGGAUGGAUGGAUGGAUGGAUGGAUGGAUGGAUGGAUGGAUUUUUUUCAUUUGUUAAAGAAAAUAACCCUGCAGAGCAACAUUCUAAAUAGACAGCUAAACCAAAGGGCAGGACCCUGCAAGAGUCUCCUAGUCAUCCCAUGGGAUGUUUGCUGGAAGAUGAUGUGGCAUGCCUAAAGAGCAAAUCUCUACCAAGCAGCCCCCCGAGGGCUGUUUGCAUUUAGCAGCACAAGCCAAAAGUAUCCCCUAUGUUUAGAUUAAGCCUCGCCAAGAGGGUCAAGUAAAAUCAAUACGGUAAUCCAUAAAUUGUCCUGUGUGAUAAUUACUAAGAGGAGAAACAGUAAUUACAGCAGACAUUAAUUUACUUCUUAGAUUUUGUGCCACGGGAGAGUUUCACCUAGCCUCAAUUCAUCUGGAGGCGAACCAUUCACAGUGGAAGCGUCCCUUUUUUUCAGCUCUUUUUCAGGAACAGUAGGUGCAUGCAAGCUUUCAGACAGAGCCCUUGGAUAUGCCAAAAGAUUGUUUGAAGGUUUUCAGACCCCUGUGUAGGACACUCCAGGGUUCUUACAUUGGUCAUUGAGGAGCAAAGUUUCGUAAAACACACACUUUUGUUCCUCUCUGACAAUGUGUCUUAAAAUAUUAGCAUAACAACAAUAUAAGAAAAUCUAUAUGGACUGUUGAGGGAUAACAUCUCUGUGUCCUCAGCCAAAGAUGCAUGGGGCGCCACACAAAUGGCACAAUACUCUAAUGGGGCGAUAAUCUGUAUACAUUUUGAUAUUUUUCUUUCCGUCCACUUUGAGGUAUGGCACAAACAUUGCACAGGCAUUCUUUUGUAAAACCCCAGAUGCAGCUGGUCCACCACUCACCGUGCACUGCCAAGUGCAAGAAAUGGGCUUCUUUUUACUGGGACGGAGCAAAUCUGGCCUAAUGUGUUUUGUGGUGAGUGUCCCAGGGAGCCCCCACUCUCCCAUUCUUUGGCCAUUCUUACCACUUUUCUCCCCUCCUGCAAGUGGGAUAAUUGCAUUUUAAUUGGAUGACAAGAAAUGAAAACUGUGUCUACAUUAUCUGGGAUUAUCUCUUUUAUUUCUCCCAGUCUGCCAUCAAUUCAACAAAGCCCAUUUAUCAGAACUGGGAAGCUGAUGCAUGAUCAGCUUUGAGCACCAGUUAGCAAAAUAAAGAGAAGGGGCCUAUGACAGAUAAGGGAGGGGCUAUGACAGCUGAGAAAAAAAUGCUCUUGAUAUCUUACCAAAACCAUAUGUUCUCAUAGCUAUCAUAACCUAACCAAAUUUAUAUUCAAAAUGCUUUU
This is a long non-coding RNA of Girardinichthys multiradiatus, 4426 nucleotides long. RefSeq lists it as uncharacterized. NCBI's taxonomy places the organism in Eukaryota, Metazoa, Chordata, Actinopteri, Cyprinodontiformes, Goodeidae. The record is from RefSeq and is a predicted model, not a curated record. The transcript is spliced from 3 exons.